Molecule: small RNA, 102 nt
Filed under: Flavobacterium frigidimaris
Lineage: Bacteria; Pseudomonadati; Bacteroidota; Flavobacteriia; Flavobacteriales; Flavobacteriaceae
Description: Flavo-1 RNA
Source: RNAcentral
UUUUUGCGUGAGAGGUAGUAGCGGCAUCCUUUUGUGACAAAGAGACGCCUUUUUAAGCAAAAGUGCUAUGAACAAAAGAUAUAGCGAAUAACCCGACCCUGU